UACGUAGGGUGCGAGCGUUGUCCGGAAUUAUUGGGCGUAAAGGGCUCGUAGGCGGUUUGUCACGUCGGGAGUGAAAACUCAGGGCUCAACCCUGAGCCUGCUUCCGAUACGGGCAGACUAGAGGUAUGCAGGGGAGACUGGAAUUCCUGGUGUAGCGGUGAAAUGCGCAGAUAUCAGGAGGAACACCGAUGGCGAAGGCAGGUCUCUGGGCAUUAACUGACGCUGAGGAGCGAAAGCAUGGGGAGCGAACAGG
RNAcentral lists this ribosomal RNA (253 nucleotides) under uncultured bacterium. Its description in RNAcentral is "partial 16S ribosomal RNA". It matches the Rfam family "Bacterial small subunit ribosomal RNA", at positions 524 to 776 of the family's 1533-position model. The record is from RNAcentral.